Molecule: ribosomal RNA, 563 nt
Filed under: uncultured eukaryote
Lineage: Eukaryota
Description: bacterial SSU rRNA
Rfam family: Eukaryotic small subunit ribosomal RNA
Source: RNAcentral
AUUGAGUUUGAUCCUGCCAGUACUCAUCUGCUGUUAUCAGAGAGUAACCCAGGCAUGUCCAAGCAUAAGCAAUCUUAUACACCGAAACUGGGAAUGGCUCAGAUAAAUCAGUUAAUCUGUAAUAGAUCGUAUGAUGGUACACGGAUAACAGUAGUAAAUCUAGAGAGAAUACAGGUUAAAAAUGCCGGAAGUGGCAACCCUGAAGGGGAGAGUUUUUUAGAUUAAAAACAGACACCUCUCCGCGUGGGGUGGUAGCACAGGUGAUUCACAGUAACCGAUCGGAUCGUCGGCCCCCCCGCCGGCGAUGCAUCCGAGUAUUUUCCCUCUCAUCUUUAGUUGGUAGAGUAUCGGUGUACCACGGUGGUAACGGGGGACGGGGGAGUAGGGUUCGUUUCCUCAGAGGGAGCAUCAGAAACGGCUGCCACUUCCAACGAAGGAGGCAGCCGGGCAAAUUACCCAAUCCUCACACGGGGAGGUAGUGACAACAAAUACCAUCGUAACGUCUCCUUGAGAGUCUUACGAUUGGAAUGAGUACAAUUUAAAUCCCUUAUCGAGUAUCCAUU